RNAcentral lists this ribosomal RNA (394 nucleotides) under uncultured bacterium. RNAcentral describes it as "bacterial SSU rRNA". It matches the Rfam family "Bacterial small subunit ribosomal RNA", at positions 775 to 1169 of the family's 1533-position model. The record is from RNAcentral.
GGAUUAGAAACCCGGGUAGUCCAUGCCGUAAACGUUGGGAACUAGAUGUGGGGACCAUUCCACGGUCUCCGUGUCGCAGCUAACGCAUUAAGUUCCCCGCCUGGGGAGUACGGCCGCAAGGCUAAAACUCAAAGGAAUUGACGGGGGCCCGCACAAGCGGCGGAGCAUGCGGAUUAAUUCGAUGCAACGCGAAGAACCUUACCAAGGCUUGACAUAUACCGGAAAAGGCUGGAAACAGUCUCCCCGCAAGGUCGGUAUACAGGUGGUGCAUGGUUGUCGUCAGCUCGUGUCGUGAGAUGUUGGGUUAAGUCCCGCAACGAGCGCAACCCUCGUCUUAUGUUGCCAGCACGUUAUGGUGGGAACUCAUAAGAGACUGCCGGGGUCAACUCGGAGG